AACGCGAAGAACCUUACCUGGUCUUGACAUCCACAGAACUUAGCAGAGAUGCUUUGGUGCCUUCGGGAACUGUGAGACAGGUGCUGCAUGGCUGUCGUCAGCUCGUGUUGUGAAAUGUUGGGUUAAGUCCCGCAACGAGCGCAACCCUUAUCCUUUGUUGCCAGCGGUUAGGCCGGGAACUCAAAGGAGACUGCCAGUGAUAAACUGGAGGAAGGUGGGGAUGACGUCAAGUCAUCAUGGCCCUUACGACCAGGGCUACACACGUGCUACAAUGGCAUAUGCAAAGAGAAGCGACCUCGCGAGAGCAAGCGGACCUCAUAAAGUAUGUCGUAGUCCGGAUUGGAGUCUGCAACUCGACUCCAUGAAGUCGGAAUCGCUAGUAAUCGUAGAUCAGAAUGCUACGGUGAAUACGUUCCCGGGUCUUGUACACACCG
Molecule: ribosomal RNA, 434 nt
Filed under: uncultured bacterium
Lineage: Bacteria
Description: bacterial SSU rRNA
Rfam family: Bacterial small subunit ribosomal RNA
Source: RNAcentral